This 117-nucleotide small nucleolar RNA is filed under the name Trifolium pratense (red clover). RNAcentral's name for it is "snoRNA Plant_U3". The record is from RNAcentral. Lineage: Eukaryota; Viridiplantae; Streptophyta; Magnoliopsida; Fabales; Fabaceae.
ACCACCUUACUUGAACGAACAGGAUCUGUUCUAUAGGAUCGUACUACCGUGUCCUUGAUUUCUAAGGAGACAGAAACAUAAAAAUCUCCAUGAACUUCUUAAAUUGACCUUCAUUUU